RNAcentral lists this ribosomal RNA (406 nucleotides) under uncultured bacterium. RNAcentral's name for it is "partial 16S ribosomal RNA". It matches the Rfam family "Bacterial small subunit ribosomal RNA", at positions 28 to 526 of the family's 1533-position model. The record is from RNAcentral.
GAUGAACGCUAGCUACAGGCUUAACACAUGCAAGUCGAGGGACCGGCGCACGGGUGAGUAACACGUAUCCAACCUGCCCUUUACUCGGUGAUAGCCUUUCGAAAGAAAGAUUAAUACCCGAUAUAAAGGAUGGGAAUGCGUUCCAUUAGGUUGUUGGUUAGGUAACGGCACACCAAGCCUUCGAUGGAUAGGGGAUCUGAGAGGAAGGUACCCCAGAUUGGAACCGCGACACGGACCACACUGCGAGGGAGGGCAGGAGUGAGGAAUAUUGGUCAGUGGACGCUAGCCUGAACCACCCAAGUAGCGUGAAGGAUGAAGGCGUAGGGAUCGUAAACUUCUUUUAUAUAAGAAUCUGUAUCAUAUGAAUAAGGAUCGGCUAACUACGUGCCAGCAGCCGCGGUAAUAC